AGUACCAGCAAGGACACACAUACAGCCACAAAGCAAGACCUAGGAGAAAUAUUUGGUGCUCUACUCUCCUAGGGAACUGGAAGGAACCUGCUCUCUCCUGGGUAUACUUUUCUAAUUUUAGAGUGCUAAAGAAGCUCUUCUCACAGGGACCCGAGUGAAUCCUUUCUCCUUGGAACAAAGGACAAGAAAAAAAGAAAGGACUUUACCGCAGAAAUGAUGAAGAUCAUGUCUCCAAGUCUUUUCUGCCGUUGCCAGUAUUCUCUCCCAAUCUCCUGUGGGCAACUUCUUCGGGAAAACACUCAUGCAAUUUCAUAAGGACAAGCGAAAAUAUGAAGAAGCUGGAUCUUGGAACUAGGCUUUGAUCACAGAGCGGAGCUGAGAUGAAAGUCCAUCCACUCAUUCAACAAAUAAUUGAGUACUUACAAAAAUUUCUGCUGUAUGGAGCUUAUAUAGUAGUGAAUAUCAAUUCUUAUUUUAUGGAUUAUAAAACAGAACUUUUUGCAACAAUUUUACACUACCCUAGGGGUACCUAUGAGUCUUCAUGCCUCAAGUAAUUGUCCUGUCCAUGUGACUAUGGAAGCCCUGAAAUCUUUGAAACCCCAGAUGACCCAUUUCACCAGACGCUUGGACAUUCUCCGUCGAGUUUGGAUUUAUAGUGGGUACCCAGAUUUAGGUCAAGGACAUAAAAUCUGAACCACUUUAGGCACUGCUCAUAAGGAGUAAAUUCCUAGUGAAAAAGCAAUGUCCCUCAGGAAUGAUUGCUAUAGCAGGCUAAAAGGUAGAUUUAUAAAUGUUUAUAAAAAGCAGAUUGGAUUUAGCAGAGGUAGCAGUGAUGACCAGGAGCAAUAGGAGGAAAUGUUCUUAAUAGUGCUGUUUGGUGGCAUCUUCUUUUUAUACAAAGAAGUCUUGCAAGCAUUUCUACUUGAAUGACUAAUUUGGAGUAAUUUUUAGUUUCUGUAUUUUUAUUAGUUAAUAGGAUCUAGGAAUAUAAUAACCUGGUGAGAAUUUCUUCGUGAAUGGCAAUCAAAUUUGUCUUAUUCAUGAAACUCAUAAAUAAGCUAUAAUCCAGCAUUUUAUAACUAGGGAAAAUAAAACUGGGGUCCUGCUGUUUAAGAGGCUAAGGCAAUUUAACAGAACACUGGGGGAUUUAUAGUAGAUUUAUGAUGAAGAUACAUUCUAACUGGAAGCUUAAUUGUGAUUUAAAUUAUAGGUCAAGCUGAGCAAUGUGUUUUCUUUUUAGGGGGAAAUCUUUAGAGAGUUAGAGUGUGCUUGUUUAAAGAGGAAACAGACCAAAUGAGAAAACAGAUUGCAUUUUCUGUUUUUCUUUUAAAAUUUCAAGCUGCUUUAAGUCAAAUUGCCCCUGAGUUCCUGAUGAUGGCUGUGGUGAAAUUGCCUUGUUUUACUUUCUUGCCUUCUUUUCCAGAGCAGUUAUUUUACCUGAAAAUAACAAAAAGAUAUAGGCAGCAUAUCAGCCAGAAAACUAAUAUGGAAACCAGAGAUAAAGUAUACUCAACCUGCCUAGAAUUGUGACAUCCUAUAAUUUUAGGCUGAGUUGUAUAAAAUUAGCAAGUAAUAUGGAUGAAAGGGCCUUUGAAAAAUUUUUGCCACUCAUUUUGCAAAUGGGAAAAUUGAGGCUUCUAGUGGUUUUCCUAAAUUUUUUAUCUCAAGUACUUUAAGGUCUCAUGAGGAAAUAAAAUUUAUGUACAAAUAAUUUUAAUUAAAAGUAUAAAAAGUUGUUUCCCUGAAAAAUAAAACUUAAAACAGAUAACAAAAGGUUGAUUCUGUAAGGAGGAUUUCUAUUGGGAAAAGGACAGUUAGAUUUGACAGCCCAGAUGCUUACUCUCUAACAUUUCCCUACCCCUUGGCAGAAUCCUUCAAUAAUUAACACCAGGACAACCACAUAGACUUCAGCCAUGGGUGUGUCAGGGGCAUUUGAACCAGAGCAACUCCAUCUUGAAUAGGGUCUGGGCAAAGUGAGGCUGAGACCCACUGGGCUGCAUUCCCAGGAGGUUAGGCAUUCUUAGUUACAGGAUGAGAUAGGAGGUUGGCACAAGAUACAGGUCACAAAGACCUUACUGAUAAAAUAAUAUGGUACAGAAGCUGGCCAAAACCCACCAAAACCAAGAUGGUGACGAAAGUAACCUCUGGUAGUCUUCACUGCUCAUUAUGUGCUAAUUAUAAUGCAUUAGCAUGCUAAAAGACACUCCUACCAGUGCCAUGACAGUUUACAAAUGCCAUAGCAAUGUCAGGAAGUUAUACUAUAUGGUCUAAAAAGAGGAGGAACUCUCAGUUCUGGGAAUUGCCCACCUCUUUCCUGGAAAACUCAGGAAUAAUACACCCCUUGUUUAGCAUAUAAUCAAAUAACUAUAAGUAUAAUCAGUCAAGCAGCCUAUGCCACUGCUCUGUCUAUGGAGUAGCCAUUCUUCUAUUCCUUUACUUUCCUAAUAAACUUGCUUUCACUUUA
This is a long non-coding RNA of Homo sapiens (human), 2464 nucleotides long. Ensembl annotates it as SMC2 divergent transcript. Its record names the gene SMC2-DT. The record is from Ensembl. NCBI's taxonomy places the organism in Eukaryota, Metazoa, Chordata, Mammalia, Primates, Hominidae.